This 74-nucleotide transfer RNA is filed under the name Alphaproteobacteria bacterium. RNAcentral's name for it is "tRNA-Arg". It matches the Rfam family "tRNA". Rfam says of the family: Transfer RNA (tRNA) molecules are approximately 80 nucleotides in length. Lineage: Bacteria; Pseudomonadati; Pseudomonadota; Alphaproteobacteria. The record is from RNAcentral.
GGUCCCGUAGUUCAGCAGGAUAGAACAUCGGAUUCCUAAUCCGAAGGUCGGAGGUUCGAGUCCUCCCGGGACCG